Molecule: RNA transcript, 913 nt
Organism: Piliocolobus tephrosceles (Ugandan red Colobus)
Lineage: Eukaryota; Metazoa; Chordata; Mammalia; Primates; Cercopithecidae
Exons: 3
Source: RefSeq, a predicted model, not a curated record
GGGGCCUCGAUCGCGCUAUUGUCAUGGAGACGGGAAGCUGGCUGCAGCGGCAGCAGGGACAGCUGGGCCGAGGUGGCUUCCAGCCGGCCAAAGCUUAAGCGAGGCGGAACGCCCCGGGAGGCCCGAGCCUGGGGCAGCGUGGAGCCGGCCAGUGGUGGCCUCGCCGGCGGCCUCUUCCCGGGCUCGCAGUAGGCCCGAGUCUUCGCUGGGAGCUCCCGGGAGCAGCGUCCCCGCCCUGCUGCCCUCGCUCCCGCCUCUUGCAGCCCCACGGCCCCUCAGUGCCCGCCCCCGGCUCCGCCCGCCGCAGCCGCAGCCCCUGGCGCUAACGGUCGGUAACGGCCCGCGCGCGCCGCCCGCCGGGGGCUCGCGCCAGCCACGAGGGAGCGUCCGCGGCCCGCGCGCCCGCGCGGCGGAGGAGAGGUGAUAAGUGUGAUGUUUCCGUAAUACAUUUGGAUGUUGUCAGCUAAGUUCACUUCUGAACUAUGGGGUUCCUCCACAUGUUGGCUGAAAUUUGUCCUUGCAUAUCCCAAGGCUCGUCUGCAAAGUCUACAAUUCAUAAUGGAGCUACUGUACUGGCUAUUGGAAGGAGGAGAUUCUGAAGAUAAGGAGGUAAUGUUAUCUCUUUUAAAAGAAUACUUUCCUCUGUAAUCCUGAACCUUUAUUACAUGUAAGAACUUUGUGCAGUAGACAGCAAUUUCUUUAAAUUUGGUAUAUGGAAACAAUUUUAUUUUCCUCUGCUGAGUUUUUGAGCCUGCCUCUUCUAGUGCUAUGGACUGCAUUGGUAGAGCUGAGAAAUACCAUUUUGCCAUACUCAGCACCCUUAAAAUAGCUUCUUUCUGCGAAUUAGAUCUUCAAAGGUGUCCUGCACAGUUCUUGUAGAUGUCAUUUUAGUUUGUGGUUGACGUGCAUGCAU